CUGAAUGUUUUACUAGAGCCAAACACUAGAGGGCAGAAGAGUCAGUCAAAUGAGCUGAACCCGCCAGAACCACAGCCUUGAACGCGUGCAUGUCAACUUGUCAGCCGAGUAAGAUUAAUGGUGUUUCUGCUCUAUUUUUGUGGUUCAAUUAGCAGUUUCUCAGUUCUAUAAAGUGCUCUAAUCUUCAGUUUCUGUCGUGUCCAUCUGUACUGCUGUCUGUUAGCAGAAUGCUGCUGUCAGAAGCGCUGAGGGACAUCUGGACGCCCCGCUGACUGAGUUUAUGUGCUCAGACCUCACCGUCACAAACAGCAGCUCUGUGGCGAUGUUUCUCAGCUGUUUUCAAACAAUCCUAACGGACGGAGCCCCAGCUGAAGGUCCCGAUGGAGAUGAGUGUCUGACAGGCUCCAGACGACAGCCACACCGUCUCCAUCAGACUGAAGUGAAGAAAGCCCAGGGCGAAGCCGCAUGCCAUGUCCGUCAGGUGGUGUUGUCCCAGCAGAACGCGGGACAGGCCCACCAGGACGGCCCACAGCACCAGCAGGACCCGCAGCGGGACGGCCAGCACUAGAUGGGACAAGAGGAACUUGGACACCAUGACGGCUCUGCUGGCGUGUGCAGCCGGGAACGAGUAUGUGUCCAGAGCCACACAGUCCAGAAAGCCGGGACUUAUGUCCCAUGGUCCUUUGCGCCUGACCAGUUUCUGAACCCCGGCCACAGUCAGAACAUCAAGAAUCAGCGCUGAAAGAAAGCAGGUUGAUCAGGACCUCUUGUCCAGCCAACGUGUUACUCUGAGUGAGACACAGCAGAGUCCCACAGAUCCAGGUGAUGCCGUGACCCGUCAGAGCCAGUAGAGUGACUGCCGAGCGCAUGCUGCCCCAUGAGGAUGUGGUGUGG
Long non-coding RNA from Carassius gibelio (silver crucian carp), 894 nucleotides. RefSeq lists it as uncharacterized. The transcript is spliced from 3 exons. Lineage: Eukaryota; Metazoa; Chordata; Actinopteri; Cypriniformes; Cyprinidae. The record is from RefSeq and is a predicted model, not a curated record.